Molecule: long non-coding RNA, 335 nt
Organism: Fukomys damarensis (Damara mole-rat)
Lineage: Eukaryota; Metazoa; Chordata; Mammalia; Rodentia; Bathyergidae
Exons: 3
Source: RefSeq, a predicted model, not a curated record
GCUUGGCAGUGGGCCCCAUCACGAGCCCAUCUCGCAGGCUUGGGACAGAUGGGCUUUGUCAUUGCCCUGGGGAAGUGCUGCCAUUUCUCUUCCAGGCUCAGAGCGGCUCCCCCUGCCUGUCUCGGCUGGCUGACGAGAUGGCAAUUUAAACUGCUCCGGUUACCAGGUUUCAUUAGAUCUUCCGUGAUACUUGAAGGAGCGCCAGACCCAGCUGUCGGUGCCAGUUUCCUAUUGCUGCUUUAACAGAGGACCACAGAUGGAGUGGCUUACAACACAAAUGUAUUAUCCUGCCCUUCUGGAGUGUUGAGGAUAAAAACCUAGGACCUGGGGCAUGC